CGAAACCAAAGCUGGCGACCGGCGCACGGGUGAGUAACACGUAUCCAACCUGCCUCAUACUCGGGGAUAGCCUUUCGAAAGAAAGAUUAAUAUCCGAUAGCAUAUAUUUCCCGCAUGGGUUUUAUAUUAAAGAAAUUCGGUAUGAGAUGGGGAUGCGUUCCAUUAGUUUGUUGGGGGGUAACGCCCACCAAGACUACGAUGGAUAGGGGUUCUGAGAGGAAGGUCCCCCACAUUGGAACUGAGACACGGUCCAA
Molecule: ribosomal RNA, 254 nt
Filed under: uncultured bacterium
Lineage: Bacteria
Description: partial 16S ribosomal RNA
Rfam family: Bacterial small subunit ribosomal RNA
Source: RNAcentral